This 374-nucleotide unclassified non-coding RNA is filed under the name uncultured Caryophanales bacterium. RNAcentral's name for it is "uncultured Bacillales bacterium contains 16S-23S intergenic spacer region". Lineage: Bacteria; Bacillati; Bacillota; Bacilli; Caryophanales. The record is from RNAcentral.
UCCGGCUUUCGCCGGCUGUUUCUUUAGAGUGCCCAACUUAAUGCUGGCAACUAAUGAUAAGGGUUGCGCUCGUUGCGGGACUGAACCCAACAUCUCACGACACGAGCUGACGACAACCAUGCACCACCUGUCUCCGCUGUCCCGAAGGAAAGGCGUAUCUCUACACCGGUCAGCGGGAUGUCAAGCCUUGGUAAGGUUCUUCGCGUUGCUUCGAAUUAAACCACAUGCUCCACCGCUUGUGCGGGCCCCCGUCAAUUCCUUUGAGUUUCAGCCUUGCGGCCGUACUCCCCAGGCGGAGUGCUUAAUGGGUUUCCUUCGGCACUGAGGGUGGAACCCCCCAACACCUAGCACUCAUCGUUUACGGCGUGGACUAC